UUGAAGAGGUGGGGAUAGGGGAUUACGAAUGUCCAACAUUCGUUUUCUCUAAGUUGGAAACGAAGAGGAUGCAUUGACUAUGGAAGAGGGGUGUGAUUUUGAAGCUACUGGGAUGAAGGAUUGGUUACAAAGCAUUAAAAACCAAACUGAUGAAACAGGUGUGGGUGAGAAAGGGAGUAAUCUACAUAAUAGAUUAAGCAAUGACUAUUUUUUGGUUACUUUCUCUCAUGAAGAUGAUAAAUAUGAUGCUCUUAUGGAUGGGCCAUAAAUU
This 271-nucleotide long non-coding RNA is filed under the name Lathyrus oleraceus (garden pea). RNAcentral's name for it is "Pisum sativum (pea) long non-coding RNA (PSAT_LNC002621)". The record is from RNAcentral. Lineage: Eukaryota; Viridiplantae; Streptophyta; Magnoliopsida; Fabales; Fabaceae.